Molecule: ribosomal RNA, 253 nt
Filed under: uncultured bacterium
Lineage: Bacteria
Description: partial 16S ribosomal RNA
Rfam family: Bacterial small subunit ribosomal RNA
Source: RNAcentral
UACGUAGGGUGCAAGCGUUGUCCGGAAUUAUUGGGCGUAAAGAGCUCGUAGGCGGUCUGUCGCGUCGGAUGUGAAAAUCCAGGGCUCAACCCUGGACCUGCAUUCGAUACGGGCAGACUAGAGUUCGGUAGGGGAGACUGGAAUUCCUGGUGUAGCGGUGAAAUGCGCAGAUAUCAGGAGGAACACCGGUGGCGAAGGCGGGUCUCUGGACAGUUACUGACGCUGAGGCACGAAGGCCAGGGGAGCAAACGGG